Long non-coding RNA from Chinchilla lanigera (long-tailed chinchilla), 2523 nucleotides. RefSeq lists it as uncharacterized. The record is from RefSeq and is a predicted model, not a curated record. The transcript is spliced from 5 exons. NCBI's taxonomy places the organism in Eukaryota, Metazoa, Chordata, Mammalia, Rodentia, Chinchillidae.
GGCGGUUUGCAGAGCUACGCAGAGUCUCAGAGUCCUGUUGGAAGAAACUGCCUAGGGAUGGGAGGGUCUGUACUGAAGCGGUCACACCCCUUUCCCUUGUCCCUGCCGUGGCAUUUCUGAGGAAACCUACAGGCAGAAACUGGCUGCGGGGGCGAAGGAAAAAAAAAGUUGAGUCUCAAAGAAGGAACAACCUUGGUGGCAUUCGAGUGGUGCCAAAGAAUAAAAAGAUGAAAAACAGCACACAACCUGAGACAUCCGGUGGUGGUGACUGUCACCUAUAUGAAGCUGUGAAUCAUGGCUGGCCAGGCUGUUAAGCAUGGGACUGAAAUGGCAGUAGAGGGUCAAGGUUCAGAUGAGAAAAGUGUAAGGUAGUAACAAUUCUGCCCUUGAUGGGCAAAUCGUGUUCUGGUUCAGUGGAUGGGUUCUUGACAAGCUUGUAUCAAGUCUUGGGUCUGAUCCUGAACACAGCAAAAAAAAAAGGGGUGGUGGUGGUGGUGGCUGUGUAAUUUCAUGUACAUUUGUGAAGUUUAGAGGAAAUAUUUUUAUGUCAAUCCCCCAGGACUGGUGCAGAGCAAACCUUUAGUACAUGGUAGCUGGUAUUUGAUUUUCCUCAGCCUUAAGGGAAGCCAGGCCAGUGAGAAGAGCCACUUACGCUCAGGUUCUCUGACAGACCCGAAGGCAUGUGAGGAGAGCGCUGGGCACCAGGAUCAGGUGAAGACCUGAGUCUGGGUUCCCCUUUGCCAUGAGCUAGUAAGCUCAUGAGGGUGUCAUGAGGAACUUUUUUCCCUGGGCUGCAGUGUCUUUCAAACUUAAUUUGUAGCUGCACCUCUUGUGUCGCAGUGACCCCUUAGGGGAAGUCUGGACUUAAAAUGCACAUGAGCGUCAGGCACAUUGCAGCUCAGAGUGGCUCUGCGGAACAGUGCCUCCCUGACUUGGGCACAUCUUCCUUGCACCUGCUGGGGACGCCUCAGCUCACAGUCUGGACAGUCUUUGGCUGAGCCGCAGGGACAGCAAGGUCAUCUUGGAUUCUGGAAGGAGGCUGUCAGCCCCUGCUUAAAAUGCCAUGUUGCCCGGAGCCUGUGAAAGCCUUGUGCACACUUCCAGUGCCUACCAGCACGUGACUUUCCCUCUGACAGCAGCAACAAUCUGCCGGCCCCACCCCUUUGGGUCCAUGGCACUUAGGCAACUUCUUUCCUUCAUGGCGCCCUUAAGCCCACUUUCUUCUGUGACCGGCAACAAAAGAGCACACUGCUUCUGCAAGACCUCAUGAUGACACUGUGUCAACGUGUGGUAUCCCUCCACUUCAGAGCCAGGAUGCCACCAGGUGCUGCAAGCUCCUUCCUGAGAUCCAGAAUUUCUCUUGGACCCAGAUCCAAAGACUCAUCACGGAGGUACCACAGAUUGGAGGCAGAAGUGGAGAGAUGGGAAGGAUACUGGAUAGAUGAUAGAUGUACCCGAGGUCGCCAGUCCCUCCCUCCAUCUACUGUGCCCUGUGCCUUGGGCUGAUGUGCAAGUUAAAGGAGGAGGAGAAGGAGCGUGACAGGAAGGUCCAGAAGUUGGAAGGAACCAUGGCAGAACUGAGGAGACAGAUGGCCCUGGAGCCCCAAGCAGGGCCAUGAGGAGCAGCAGCUGUUUUCUGAGCUCCAGUGGCUGCAGAAUGAGCUGGAGCACAUCUUGGGGCAGCUUAAUGCACAGGUGCAACAAAGCCAGAGCCUGUAUAGAAGGAACCUGAAGCAUGAGGAGCGGCUGCGCCAGCUGGAGUGCAAGUCAGAGCUGUGGGCCACACUGUUACCGGAGGACAGGAACAUCCUGCAGUGUAUCCAGAGCAAGCACAAUACCGUCAGUAGCAGAACUGUGAGCUCAAGGAACAUUUGGCCUAGCUGAAGUUCAGCUUCCUCAGGCUGGUACAUGGCCACUGCUUGCUGGGCUCCUCACUGCCAGGUCCUUCAGGGCAGAGCAACAGACUUAAUCCUCUGGGUCUUUCUCCUCACACACACACUAACAAUAAAAUGGACCAAUAUAGCCCUCAACUGUGAAAGUGCCCGUGAGCCAGACCCCUGCUCCAGCAUCUGGCAGGAAAUGGAGAGAAUCCUGCAUACUGCCCUCUGCUAUGGACACCCAGGUUAAGGUCCUGGGCCUGGCUGUGCUGGUGGCACUGAUUACCAUUCUCUGUAGAGUGAAGACAACACCCAUAUCAACAACACGCUAUAACCUGAGCAGCUUGAGAGGAAGGAGCUGGCCAGGAAGCUGGGCCAGCUGCAAGAGAAGCUGUUAGAGCUCACAGCAGCGGUAACUCCUGCCCCAUGAGACUGGGCUAGGACACAGGUGCCAGCCAUGGGCAGGGUAAGUGCUGGGGCCAGGUCUGGUCUCACAGCUUGGAGACAAGUGACCCCACAGUCCUGCAGCGCCUGGCAGAGCAGUUCUCUAAGUGUUUCUUGUGUAGGGGACAAUGACUCUUAGCAUAUCAUUUUAAGAUAGAAUAAUUCUAGUCUUAAUGCAAGCCUCAAAAUGUGUCUUGAGAAA